UGUGAUAGAAAAAGUAAAUAACUGAACUUCACUCAUACUGCUUCCUGUUUCCUUCUUGAUUCUUCAGGGUACACACUCUUCUUGGAUAAACCCUGACUAAUGAAGUGGCAUCAGGAAGUGCCUACGCUUCCAUAGCCCGGGAGAGCGCAGUGAAAAUGCUCAUUAACCAAGGCGGGCUGUCCUGUCCUGACCCCGAGACACUAAAGGCUCUGUUUGCAUCGGGCUCAUGGGUUUCUUCCUAGCCACUCUCAGGGACAGAAAUGCUCGGUGAAGAAGUAUGUGGUGGUCCAUGGAGCUUCCAUUCACCAACCUGGAAAUGGCAUUCAUUUUAUUGGCCUUUGUUAUCUUUUCAUUAUUUACUGCGGCUUCCAUCUACACUAAUCCGGACGAGAGGAAUGAAGGGGAAGAACAGCAGAUAAAGAAAAAGAAAAUUAGAAAGUCUGGAAAGAAGAAAAGUUGUUCAGAGGAAGAGCACAAAAUUGAACCUAUUUAGGUUCUGAGCUGCCACCCUGAUGCCACAGCCACAG
This is a long non-coding RNA of Myotis daubentonii (Daubenton's bat), 527 nucleotides long. RefSeq lists it as uncharacterized. NCBI's taxonomy places the organism in Eukaryota, Metazoa, Chordata, Mammalia, Chiroptera, Vespertilionidae. The record is from RefSeq and is a predicted model, not a curated record.